UCCGCCACCAAGUCGCCGUUCAGGGUCUGCACGCGCUGGACGUCGUCAUCCGGCUCCCCUGAGGCCGACGACGCCGAUCCCAGGUGCCUAUCAGAGUUCGUCCUCGGCGAUGACGCUUCACCCGCUGCAGCGGAGGUAUACACGGCCAUUCCCGCUGCGCCCACCAAAACCUACCUUUGACCUCCUCGCCAAUUGCGGCCUUGAUGUGGAGGCCGACCCAUCUUCUGCCUCCUCUCCCACAAAGGUCACCCAGCAGCGGCGCUCCUCUUCGUCAGAGUGGACCAGCGCCGGUGGACAUCGCCACCGUCCACCGUGUCCAGCCAGUCGGCGGCCGUUUCUCUUGAAGUCCGCUCGCGCCCAUCCUCCAGCGUGUACCACCAACCGGCGGUGCGGCGCACGGACCUGCUGCUGCUGAGGCAUGUACGCCGCCGCAGCAGCGGCAAACACGACUUCGCAGAGGUUGGCUUGCAGGAGGAGCGGCCCGGCAAGGUUGGUUCAACACGUGAUGGUGAUGCACGGCCGCCUACAUCUCUCUCCGGCAGGUAUUGGGAAAUACAGCGAAACUUAUAUGAGCUGGAUUUCAAUGUUUUUGCCAUGAGGGAAACACAAUAGAGGUAUGUGUGCCAGCCAAUCGCACAGGUCAGUUCAAAGAACUCCUGAAGAAAGGCUAUGUGUGCCAGUCAAUCGUACAUGCCAGUUCCACAUGUGUGGAAAGAAGACACACUACGAAUUAUUUCAGUAUUUUAGAUUGAUUUUUUUCUUGGCCUGAUGAGCAAUAAGCCGUGUACAUGGAUUUUGAUUAUUUUUUCCAUUCAGCUUUGCUUUGGUAGCCUCAUGUUGUUAAUUUUUGGGUGCUGCUGAUUGGAUUUCUCAGAAUUUUAAUAUUUAGUUUUUUUUUUUUAUCUCAGCUAUGUAAAGUAUCUUGGAUGUUCUGUGCAAAUUAGUUACUGUAUUUUGGACCCUGCUGUGCCAAAGUGAGCUCUUUGUUUUUCGAUUUUAUAAAAAAAAAAUCCUGCUUAGCCUCGUGUUGUUAACUUUUGGGUGCUGCUGAUUGUAUUUCUCUGAAUUUAAUAUUUAGGUUUUUUUUAUCUCAGCUAUAUAAAGUAUCUUGGAUGUUCAGUGCCAUGCCAAUGAUUGUGAUACAUCUAUGUUGUGUAGCCAGCUAAUUAAUAAUGCUUGAUGUUAUUUCAUUUAUAGGAUACAUCUCGCACGGGUGAGAUCAAAAGGUCUAGGUCAUUGUUUGGCAAUGUAUCUGUGGCUUACGCUGAAAACUUUCUCUCAUAAUGAUGGUCUUAUCAUUGGUUUAUGUUGGAAGCUAGCGUGUUCUUUGAUAACUUCUUCUACGAUGGUGACUGUUGGCUGAAGUUAUUCCAGUGCGACAACUGGGCUAUACUUCAAGUGUAUCUCUGCUGUAAUCAUUAGCAUCAGACCCGUGCUAUGUACCAACAUCAUAUUAUUUCCAGGGAUGGUUGCAGAUGUACUGGCAGGUGUAACUUCACCAUUCCGGGAAGAAUUGCUGGGUUGUCUCCGCUCCUGAGACCCAGCACUUUCGAGCGAGAAGAAGCUCAUCUGUUCCCGUCACUUGCUGAAAAUCCAACAUAAAACUAUUUGUUCUUCACUGCCACAGUGACACUCAUGCCAUGCUAUUAUUUUGGCUGUCACACGUUUCUUUGGUUUGUUUAAAUGCUGAUGUCAGAAUCAUUACCAAUGCUGCGAUAUCUGGCUGAAGGACUAUCAAAGAAGUUUCUUUAGUUGUGGUCACCAGAUUUGAAGAAGAAGCAGAGUAGUUCUCCACGGUGUCUUGGUCGAUAUACUGAAUCUUGUGCUGCAACACUAAACCUGAAGCAGAAACAGGGUAGUUUUUGACGGUUUCUUGGCAGAUACACUAUUCUUAGAAACCUGGGACAUUCAGUUGAGGUGAAGAUGGGAAUGGGAAAUGUAUAUUUGCUAAUGAAAACCUGUAUUGAGUCCUACGUAGGGCAUUCAGUUGAGGUGAAGAUGGGAAUGGGAAAUGUAUAUUUGCUAAUGAAAACCUGUAGUGAGUCCUACGUAGGAUUGCUGCCACCAAGAUAAUACAUUCUAGCAUGUAUAUAGCUUACAAGAGAGAGGUUUAUCAUCUUAACUAAGGAGUAAUGUCAUGUGGAGUAAUAAACUAAUGUAGGUGUAUUAUUUCUAAUCUCCUGGCGUGUUUCUUUGCUGAUUAUGUUUGUUUUUACUUUUUUCUCUAGGUCCCUACAUGGAUUCUUCGGAUGAGGACUCUACUGCUGUUUGGUCAUCACUGGAUCAUUGAUGGUGAUGAUUUUUAUCUGCUUGGUCUCAUAUGGACAAUGGGUUUUGGUCACGUUUGCCUGUUCAUAAUUCUUGGACUCCUUUGUCACCUAUUUAUUUUUCGGUUUGAAUCUUAUUGUUCGCCUUCUUUUAAACAUCAGCUGGUUCAUCUACUUCUGUCCAUGUUAGUUCUAAUUAUGGACAUGCUUAUGAGGCUAGAGCAUCUUCGUCUAUGCCUGCUUCUGCCCAGUUUUUUUACUAUGAAAUUUACUCAUGCUUUAUUGAGAUGUGA
Non-coding RNA from Lolium perenne, 2560 nucleotides. The record is from RefSeq and is a predicted model, not a curated record. Lineage: Eukaryota; Viridiplantae; Streptophyta; Magnoliopsida; Poales; Poaceae.